AACUUUCGGCAACGGAUCACUAGGCUCUUGCAUCGAUGAAGAACGCAGCAAAGUGCGAAAUGUGAUGCGAUUUGCACGAAUCUGUGAGUCAUCUAAUCUUUGAACGCGAAUGGCACUGUUACGUAAGUAGCAGUAUGUCUGUUUGAGAAUCGCAAACACGAUCAACUCUAGUUAGAGUUGGGAUUGACCUCAUGCGCUGUAAUAUGGCGCAUUUGGUUUGAAUUGAUCAAGUUGAUGGGCUUCCCAGCAAUGCUCGAUGUGUGCUAGCGAGACAGUCGUCCCGAUCUCACAUUAGUUGUUUUGUUGCAGAGCCCUAAUCACAGCUUGUUUAACCUAAUAUCAUCUAUUACGAUCUCAAAUCAGGCAAGAUUACCCGCUGAACUUAAGCAUAUCAAUAAGCGGAGGCU
This 407-nucleotide unclassified non-coding RNA is filed under the name uncultured fungus. RNAcentral describes it as "sequence contains ITS2". The stretch from base 1 to 152 matches the Rfam family "5.8S ribosomal RNA". The record is from RNAcentral. Lineage: Eukaryota; Fungi.